RNAcentral lists this ribosomal RNA (492 nucleotides) under uncultured bacterium. Its description in RNAcentral is "partial 16S ribosomal RNA". It matches the Rfam family "Bacterial small subunit ribosomal RNA", at positions 29 to 507 of the family's 1533-position model. The record is from RNAcentral.
AGUGAACGCUGGCGGUAGGCCUAACACAUGCAAGUCGAACGGCAGCACAGUAAGAGCUUGCUCUUACGGGUGGCGAGUGGCGGACGGAUGAGGAAUACAUCGGAAUCUACUUUUUCGUGGGGGAUAACGUAGGUAAACUUACGCUAAUACCGCAUAUGACCUACUGGUGAAAGCAUGGGAUCUUCUGACCUUGCGCGAUUGAAUGAGCCGAUGUCGGAUUAGCUAGUUGGCGGGGUAAAGGCCCACCAAGGCGACGAUCCGUAGCUGGUCUGAGAGGAUGAUAAGCGACACUGGAAGUGAGACGCGGUCCAGACUACUACGGGAGGCAGCAGUGGGGAAUAUUGGACAAUGGGCGCAAGCCUGAUCCAGCCAUACCGCGUGGGUGAAGAAGGCCCUCGGGUUGUAAAGCCCUUUUGUUGGGAAAGAAAAGCAGCAGGUUAAUACCCCGCUGUUCUGACGGUACCCAAAGAAUAAGCACCGGCUAACUUCGUG